UACGUAGGGUGCGAGCGUUAAUCGGAAUUACUGGGCGUAAAGUGUGCGCAGGCGGCUAAGCAAGUCGAGUGUGAAAGCCCCGGGCUUAACUUGGGAAUUGCGCUCGAAACUACUUGGCUGGAGUGUGGCAGAGGAAGGUGGAAUUCCACGUGUAGCAGUGAAAUGCGUAGAUAUCGAGAGGAACACCUGCGGCGAAGGCGGGU
This 203-nucleotide ribosomal RNA is filed under the name uncultured prokaryote. Its description in RNAcentral is "partial 16S ribosomal RNA". It matches the Rfam family "Bacterial small subunit ribosomal RNA", at positions 524 to 726 of the family's 1533-position model. The record is from RNAcentral.